CAGUCGCCGCGGUAAUACGUAGGGUGCGAGCGUUAAUCGGAAUUACUGGGCGUAAAGCGUGCGCAGGCGGUUUGUUAAGUCUGUUGUGAAAUCCCCGGGCUCAACCUGGGAAUGGCAAUGGAUACUGGCAAGCUAGAGUGUGUCAGAGGAUGGUGGAAUUCCCGGUGUAGCGGUGAAAUGCGUAGAGAUCGGGAGGAACAUCAGUGGCGAAGGCGGCCAUCUGGGACAACACUGACGCUGAGGCACGAAAGCGUGGGGAGCAAACAGGAUUAGAGACCCCCGUAGUCCCUGUCUCUUAUAC
RNAcentral lists this ribosomal RNA (301 nucleotides) under uncultured bacterium. RNAcentral describes it as "partial 16S ribosomal RNA". It matches the Rfam family "Bacterial small subunit ribosomal RNA", at positions 509 to 807 of the family's 1533-position model. The record is from RNAcentral.